UCCCCUGCAGGUGACACUGCCUCAGUUUAUCCCCUCCAGUUACUUCUGUUCUUGUAUAUACACAUGCUUUUUAAUUAUAGUUGGCAGGGACACCACAAAGGAAGGAUCCAACACACACAGGAACAAUCUUUACUACAUACACCACUUAGAUCACAACAUUACCACAGGACACCAUUGAGAAAGCUCAGAGAAAUCCAUUAUAAUCUGAUCUCUCUCAGCACUACUUGGCUUUUGUGUCAUCUUUGCCUUCUGGUGACAUGUUCUUCGAACUGGAUGAUUUUCCAAUGAUCGCUUUCUUUACCUUUACAAUGGAAUGCUUCACCUUUGACAUUAUGCUGUUCGAUUGCCGCUGAGAUGACUUCACUGGUACCUCCGCUUCCUGACCCUCUCCUACUGUCUUUGUUUGAUCAUCAUCUUUUGCGACUUCUGUUUUCUCUCCCUCGUUCUCAUCCUUCCUUUGUUCUGAAUCUUUAUUCACCGACUUGUCAAUAAUAGUCUCUGUAGCUUCUGCUGCAUUUGGUUCCGACUCUGCCUCCUUGACAGGUGAAUCCAUAUCGAAAUCUCUCGAGGUCUCAACCAGGGUUGUCUUGUCAUCUUCCGUUGCAUCCUUCACUCCCUUACUUGCGACUUCCGCAACAAGAGGAGCUUCAACAUCUUUCGAUGUCUCAUCCAAACUCUCACUCUUCUCAGACUUCUCAGCAAUUUCAGUAGCAGUUUCAGCAUUCGAUGCAUCACUCACUAUUGGCUCUUUUUCUAGUGCAACCUUCUCUUCCUUAUCUUGUCCUCCGGUCAAUAUCUUUAACGCUUCUG
This 810-nucleotide unclassified non-coding RNA is filed under the name Hevea brasiliensis (rubber tree). The record is from RNAcentral. Lineage: Eukaryota; Viridiplantae; Streptophyta; Magnoliopsida; Malpighiales; Euphorbiaceae.